UGGGGAAUAUUGCACAAUGGGGGAAACCCUGAUACAGCGUCGCCGCGUGAACGAAGAAGGUAUUCGUAUCGUAAAGUUCUGUCCUAUGGGAAGAUAAUGACAGUACCAUAGAAGAAAGCUCCGGCUAAAUACGUGCCAGCAGCCGCGGUAAUACGUAUGGAGCGAGCGUUGUCCGGAAUUAUUGGGCGUAAAGGGUACGCAGGCGGUUUAAUAAGUCGAAUGUUAAAGAUCGGGGCUCAACCCCGUAAAGCAUUGGAAACUGAUAAACUUGAGUAGUGGAGAGGAAAGUUGAAUUCCUAGUGUAGUGGUGAAAUACGUAGAUAUUAGGAGGAAUACCAGUAGCGAAGGCGACUUUCUGGACACAAACUGACGCUGAGGUACGAAAGCGUGGGGAGCAAACAGG
RNAcentral lists this ribosomal RNA (403 nucleotides) under bacterium. RNAcentral's name for it is "partial 16S ribosomal RNA". It matches the Rfam family "Bacterial small subunit ribosomal RNA", at positions 355 to 776 of the family's 1533-position model. The record is from RNAcentral.